Molecule: ribosomal RNA, 468 nt
Filed under: uncultured bacterium
Lineage: Bacteria
Description: partial 16S ribosomal RNA
Rfam family: Bacterial small subunit ribosomal RNA
Source: RNAcentral
GACGAACGCUGGCGGCGUGCUUAACACAUGCAAGUCGAACGGAAAGGCCCUGCUUUUGUGGGGUGCUCGAGUGGCGAACGGGGGAGUAACACGUGAGUAACCUGCCCUUGACUUUGGGAUAACUUCAGGAAACUGGGGCUAAUACCGGAUAGGAGCUCCUGCUGCAUGGUGGGGGUUGGAAAGUUUCGGCGGUUGGGGAUGGACUCGCGGCUUAUCAGCUUGUUGGUGGGGUAGUGGCUUACCAAGGCUUUGACGGGUAGCCGGCCUGAGAGGGUGACCGGCCACAUUGGGACUGGGAUACGGCCCAGACUCCUACGGGAGGCAGGAGUGGGGAAUAUUGCACAAUGGGCGGAAGCCAGAUGCAGCAACGCCGCGUGCGGGAUGACGGCCUUCGGGUUGUAAACCGCUUUCGCCUGUGACGAAGCGUGAGUGACGGUAAUGGGUAAAGAAGCACCGGCUAACUACGUG